AACAAUAACCAAACCCACUUAUCCUAUGGUCAUCUCCACUUGGUGAGUGCUGGUUUGGACAGCAGAGCAGUUUUUGGGCACACUUGCUAGAUGCCUUGAGAACACUGACCCAGAUGGUCCAUUCCAGGGACACAGCAAAUGUGUUUCUACCUGAGCAGGGACAUGGGGAUCUAACCCAGUGAUGGCUCCCUGGAAUAGCUUCCAGUCAAAAAAUAUGGGCAAGUUUGGUCCAAAUGACAUUGGGGACCAGACUUAGUCUAGGCUAAAGUAAACACUUGAACUGUGUAUAUUGUACUUGUGGGGAACUCUCUUUGGAUCUGCUCCUUUUGUGCUGAGUGACCUCUAAUGUAAACAGAGCCUUUCUCUCAAUUAAUGGCCUUUGUUUCCAUGCUGUAUUCCUUUAAGAUCAAUAAAGUAUAUUAACGUUAA
Molecule: long non-coding RNA, 429 nt
Organism: Corapipo altera (White-ruffed manakin)
Lineage: Eukaryota; Metazoa; Chordata; Aves; Passeriformes; Pipridae
Exons: 3
Source: RefSeq, a predicted model, not a curated record